CCCUUAGAUGUCCGGGGCUGCACGCGCGCUACACUGAAGGAAUCAGCGUGCUAAAACCAUUGUCGAAAGUCAUUGGUAAACCCAUUAAAAUCCUACGUGAUUGGGAUCGGGAAUUGCAAUUAUUUCCCUUGAACGAGGAAUUCCCAGUAAGUGUGGGUCAUAAGCUCGCGUUGAUUACGUCCCUGCCCUUUGUACACACCGCCCGUCGCUGCCCGGGACUGAGCCGUUUCGAGAAAAGCGGGGACUGCUGCUGUCGGGGCUUUCGGGCCUUGGCUUCGGUGGAAACCGCUUUAAUCGCAGUGGCUUGAACCGGGCAAAAGUCGUAACA
This 328-nucleotide ribosomal RNA is filed under the name uncultured eukaryote. RNAcentral describes it as "partial 18S ribosomal RNA". It matches the Rfam family "Eukaryotic small subunit ribosomal RNA", at positions 1470 to 1796 of the family's 1831-position model. The record is from RNAcentral.